AGCGUUUGCGGGUGGCAGAGGGA
RNAcentral lists this non-coding RNA (23 nucleotides) under Arabidopsis thaliana (thale cress). Lineage: Eukaryota; Viridiplantae; Streptophyta; Magnoliopsida; Brassicales; Brassicaceae. The record is from RNAcentral.